RNAcentral lists this transfer RNA (71 nucleotides) under Candidatus Pacearchaeota archaeon. RNAcentral's name for it is "tRNA-Gly". It matches the Rfam family "tRNA". Rfam says of the family: Transfer RNA (tRNA) molecules are approximately 80 nucleotides in length. Their secondary structure includes four short double-helical elements and three loops (D, anti-codon, and T loops). Further hydrogen bonds mediate the characteristic L-shaped molecular structure. tRNAs have two regions of fundamental functional importance: the anti-codon, which is responsible for specific mRNA codon recognition, and the 3' end, to which the tRNAs corresponding amino acid is attached (by aminoacyl-tRNA synthetases). tRNAs cope with the degeneracy of the genetic code in two manners: having more than one tRNA (with a specific anti-codon) for a particular amino acid; and 'wobble' base-pairing, i.e. permitting non-standard base-pairing at the 3rd anti-codon position. The record is from RNAcentral. Lineage: Archaea; Nanobdellati.
GCGCCGGUGGUAAAGUGGCAUUAUCCAAGCUUCCCAAGCUUGUGUCCCGGGUUCGAUUCCCGGUCGGCGCA